RNAcentral lists this ribosomal RNA (497 nucleotides) under uncultured bacterium. RNAcentral's name for it is "partial 16S ribosomal RNA". It matches the Rfam family "Bacterial small subunit ribosomal RNA", at positions 28 to 507 of the family's 1533-position model. The record is from RNAcentral.
GAUGAACGCUGGCGGCGUGCCUAAUACAUGCAAGUCGAGCGAACAGACGAGGAGCUUGCUCCUCUGACGUUAGCGGCGGACGGGUGAGUAACACGUGGAUAACCUACCUAUAAGGCUGGGAUAACUUCGGGAAACCGGAGCUAAUACCGGAUAAUAUAUUGAACCGCAUGGUUCAAUAGUGAAAGACGGUUUUGCUGUCACUUAUAGAUGGAUCCGCGCCGCAUUAGCUAGUUGGUAAGGUAACGGCUUACCAAGGCAACGAUGCGUAGCCGACCUGAGAGGGUGAUCGGCCACACUGGAACUGAGACACGGUCCAGACUCCUACGGGAGGCAGCAGUAGGGAAUCUUCCGCAAUGGGCGAAAGCCUGACGGAGCAACGCCGCGUGGGUGAUGAAGGUCUUCGGAUCGUAAAACUCUGUUAUUAGGGAAGAACAAAUGUGUAAGUAACUAUGCACGUCUUGACGGUACCUAAUCAGAAAGCCACGGCUAACUACGUG